Long non-coding RNA from Quercus robur (English oak), 1484 nucleotides. RefSeq lists it as uncharacterized. The transcript has 5 exons. The record is from RefSeq and is a predicted model, not a curated record. NCBI's taxonomy places the organism in Eukaryota, Viridiplantae, Streptophyta, Magnoliopsida, Fagales, Fagaceae.
UUUAAAAUUUAGACACAUUAAAACUUAUUGCUUGGUGUGUUCAUGUAUUUUAAAAUCUGGUAAUAAAAACUGAAUAUGGUUUAGAAUUUUUUUGAACUAAGGUCCUUGGAAGCUUCAUUGCUUUUGCAAGAAUCUGAAAACCCAUUAUGAAUGGCAGGUUAUUGAUGACUGACUAUCUAUUUUGAUUGGUAAGUUACACACGCACACACACCCAGUGGGUCUCGAACCCAGUAUUCAGGACCUCAUCCUCCGUCCCUUUAUUAUGAGAGGAGGAAGUGCCAAUUGAGCUAUAGCUAAUUGGUUGAUGACUGACUAACUUUUAUAAUUGAAAACUUAAUAGAAAAGUUACAAUUGAGCUUGGCUUAAAAGCAGUCCAGUUUGACGUUUUACAUUUAAUUUUUAUCGGAAGUUGACACUAGGGGUGCCCAGCUUGAUAAGCUAACAAUUAUUUAUUUUAAUUGUGUUACAAUUCUUGCAAGUAUAAUCGAUUUCUUCUGCUCCCCCCCUUUUUGGCCUCUUUUUCUUGUUAAUUUUUCUUCAUGGGGAAAUAAAUUUUACCUAACAUAUGCUUGAGUUGUUAUUGUACAAUCAAUGGAUGAUUGACUUGUUCUUUUUUAUUAUUAGUAUGGGGACCUUGUUAUUCAUUCCCUAAGCCCCUAGUAGUUUUCCUAUCAACUCUAAUUCAUCUUAUCAAGCUUUUAGUUCUUUAGAACAAAUCAGAUUUUGCCCUGAUUAGUUAUGUUUGAUAAAUUUACAGAAACCCCGUCCAAAGGAUAGAUUUGACUCAAGAACUAAUACGAUGAAUGAUGGAGUAAAAUUCAAGGACUAAACCUAUUGGAGGCCAGCUUAAUAACCUGCAUCAUUUGACACACCUGCAAGAAUGUCAGCUACAAUAACAUUCAGGGUGAAAUUCCAUAUAGCUUACCUCCCAAUGCCACGAAUAUAAAUAUGGCAUACUACUAUUUGAGACAAAAUAUUCCCCACUCUCUACCAGCCAUGAAAUGUCUCUAACAUCAAAAUCUAAACCACAAUUAGUUAUCUGGACCAAUUGACAAUGUCUUUACCGGCUUAUAGAAUCUCAGAGAAAUGUACGUGUUCUUCACCUGAUCCUUACAUUUCCUUUUCCCUGGCGUUUGAAGUGAAAAGAAAAUAAUGCAAAGUACAAUAUUCCAUGAAAUACAAAGAGGAUGUUGUUGAUGCUAGUAGAACCUUGAGAGGGUAUGAAGUUGGUGAUGAUCUUGAUGAAGGUAUGUAGCAAAUUAUGCAGCAAACAAGAACUCUCCAAAUACCUUUUAGUGUACAAGGAUUGGCUAUUGUAAAUACUUUUAAGUGUACUAUUCAAAACAGGUUUUGUGUAGCAAGUAGUGAUUCAUGUUUCAAAUUUAAAAAUGUAAAGGGUAAUAGACAGAGUAGUUGAGUUAUGUUGAUUUGUACAAUUUGUUUCAUUGUGUUAAAAUAGUAGUUGAUUGGUUGUUGUAAUUCAA